UUCCGGUUGAUCCUGCCGGAGGCCAUUGCUAUCGGAAUCCGAUUUAGCCAUGCUAGUCGCACGGGUCAGACCCGUGGCGAACAGCUCAGUAACACGUGGCCAAACUACCCUGUGGACGAGGAUAAUCUCGGGAAACUGAGGUCAAUCCUUGAUAGGGCUUCCAUCCUGGAGUGGAGGAAGUCCAAAAGUUGCACUGCAGCACCACAGGAUGUGGCUGCGGCCGAUUAGGUAGACGGUGGGGUAACGGCCCACCGUGCCAGUAAUCGGUACGGGUGAUGAGAGUCAGAGCCCGGAGACGGUAUCUGAGACAAGAUACCGGGCCCUACGGGGCGCAGCAGGCGCGAAACCUUUACACUGCACGCACGUGCGAUAAGGGGACUCCGAGUGCGAGGGCAUAUCGUCCUCGCUUUCAUGUACCGUAGGGUGGUACAUCAACAAGAGCUGGGCAAGACCGGUGCCAGCCGCCGCGGU
RNAcentral lists this ribosomal RNA (471 nucleotides) under uncultured archaeon. Its description in RNAcentral is "bacterial SSU rRNA". It matches the Rfam family "Archaeal small subunit ribosomal RNA", at positions 1 to 471 of the family's 1478-position model. The record is from RNAcentral.